GUAGCUCAUACUGUUCUCUUCCACAGGUCCUGCGUUGUAUCUUCCCAAGUGGCGUGGAUGUGAGGAGACACGACAUUUCACCUGAUGUUCCAUGGGAGACCCUACUGGUGAUGUGGACCUGACCCUCCGCCAUGUAGCAGACAACCCCCUCAGGUCCUGCGUUGUAUCUUCCCAAGUGGCGUGGAUGUGAGGAGACACGACAUUUCACCUGAUGUUCCAUGGGAGACCCUACUGGUGAUGUGGACCUGACCCUCCGCCAUGUAGCAGACAACCCCCUCAGGUCCUGCGUUGUAUCUUCCCAAGUGGCGUGGAUGUGAGGAGACACGACAUUUCACCUGAUGUUCCAUGGGAGACCCUACUGGUGAUGUGGACCUGACCCUCCGCCAUAUAGCAGACAACCCCCUCAGGUCCUGCGGUGUAUCUUCCCAAGUGGCGUGGAUGUGAAGAGACAGAUCCCCUGAUGUUCCCUGGGCAAUCUACUUACAUACAAUUCAACUGCAUUACAAAUUUUAAUAAAAACCACAGGAAACUUCUAUUUUUAAAAGUUUAUU
Long non-coding RNA from Pseudophryne corroboree (corroboree frog), 551 nucleotides. RefSeq lists it as uncharacterized. The record is from RefSeq and is a predicted model, not a curated record. NCBI's taxonomy places the organism in Eukaryota, Metazoa, Chordata, Amphibia, Anura, Myobatrachidae. The transcript is spliced from 4 exons.